RNAcentral lists this unclassified non-coding RNA (3778 nucleotides) under Hevea brasiliensis (rubber tree). The record is from RNAcentral. Lineage: Eukaryota; Viridiplantae; Streptophyta; Magnoliopsida; Malpighiales; Euphorbiaceae.
GUGAAUAGAGAAUUUGUUUCACGGCCAGGGAAAAAUUCUCUCUAUAAAGAGAACAUAGGCCUUUCAUUAACUCACUAAAUUAUUAAUAAAGAAAUAUUCCAAACAUCUUAAAUGAAUUAUACUAAUGAAAUUGAAUUCUAUCCCAUGAUUUGAUCUAAAGACAACCCAAGAUUUCCACUCCAGCCAUUGCAGCUAAAAUAUCCAUUUCUAACUGAGACUAGUAGAUUAUCAACUUAAGCAUUUGCUCCGAAUAUUUCACCUGGAGCAGCGGCAAAAUAUUACCUCAAGAUUACAUCCCUAAUUGGAACAAAAAUCGUCUUCCUAAUCAUUUCCCAAGCUUGUGCUAACUUGAACUGCAUCAGUAUUGAUGGAGGUGAGGCGUGGAGCACGCAAGCAAAACACCUGCCCACAUGUGCAAAUUCCUAGUAAGCAUAGUCCAGAUGUGCAGUAACUGACGUUAUAUGAAGGAAUUUGGCACCCCAGUCCUGAGCUCCAUUUUCACUGUAUCACACAAGGCAAGUUUUACCCUGGCUAUACGAGUGGCAGAAACCGUUCUUGCAGGUUAUAGCUUCUACGUUACUGUCCCAUUUGACCAGUACAAAGCUAGAAAAAUGAGAAUCACACCUUGGCAGAGAAAUUUUGAUUCUCACAUUUUCUUCUUAGUGAUUCAACUCUUUCUUGUAUGAUAGCAGCACAUUCAGCCCCACCACUUUUUUGCACAUAGGAGAAUAUAUCAUGAUACAUCCCAUUUGAAGGUUGAAUUCCAGCAUCCACCAUCCAUUCCAAUACCUCAAUAUAUUUUCUCCAAUUUCCAACAGCCACAAGAUUCUUCAACAAGAUUGAAUGAGUGUUGAAGUUUAUUUCAGCACCUGAUUUUGUGAUCUUGUAAAACAACUUCAUCAUAAACUCAAUCUUUCCACUUUUUCCAAGAAGAUGAAGAAGCUGAUUCAAAAGUCCAAUAGAAACUACUGAGAAUGAAGGUUCCAUCAAUUUCACCAAGUUAAUUGUUCUUCUCCAAUCUCGUAAUAGGCUACAGGCAGAAACCAUUUCAAAGAAAAUGGCAUCACUGAAUGGGAUUUCUCUCUCUUUCAUAAAAUCCGCCAGAAUAAGAACCAUUGUUGGCUUGCCUCCUUUAUUGAAUGCUCUCAUCAAAGCCGAACAUGCAAUUGUAUCUGGCUGGAUAUUAUAAUCUUCCAUUUCUUGAAGUAGACUACAUGCUUUUUCCCAGUAUUUUGCAGCAUUGUAAGCAUGUAGCAUUGUGGUAAAAGUAAUUACAUCAGGACAGCAACCAGCUGCCUUCAUCAUAUCGAAAAUAGAUUCUGCUUCUUUGAUUUGGCCCUGCUUACUGUAGGCACAUAAAAUAGAUGAGUAAACCUCUCUGGUCAAAGGAAUUUUCAGAUCCAUCAUAUCUGCAUAAAACUCAAGUGCCUCAUCAUACUUUGACAUCUUGCAGCAACCACUAAUCAAGACAGUAUAAGUAACAGAAUCAGUUGCUACUUUCUUCUUUCUCAUGGAUUUGUACAAAGCCACAGCCUUUUCAUAUUCGCCCACAUUCAUAUAGCUUCCAAUAGCUGAAUUAUAUGCAAUUGUGUUGAAUUCAAUGCCACGCAUUUUGGCGGCUGAAAGCACUGCAUCAACAUUCACCUUUUGACCAUAGCGGCCACAAGCUGCCAAAAGAGUACAUAUGGAGACAAUGUUUGGGUGAAUACCAUCCUGCUCCAUUUCCCGCAAAACUUCCACAGCUUCACCUAAGAGACCAUUCGAACCAUAAGCAUCAAUCAGUGCAUUGUAGCUGACAACAUUUGGCUUCAUCUUGUCUCUCUUCAUCAUGUUAAAUAUUUCCCUUGCUUUUCUAGGUUGUUUUGAUCUUCCAUAGGAACUAAGCAGGGAAGUAUAAGACACUACAUCAGGGUGAAAUCCACUUGUUUUAAUUUCAUUAAAAAUUGACAAUGCCUCUUCACUCAUUCCAUGAGAAGCAUAUGCUCCUAUCAGUGCAUUAUACGAAACAAUAUUGGGCUUCAGACCCUCGGCAAGCAUAAUAUUGAAGACAGCCUUACAAUUUUCAAUCUGCCCACUCACAGAGUACAAAUGGAUGAUGCUUGUGAAUGUUACAAUAUCUGGGUGGCACUCUGCUCUCUGCUCCCUCAUGGAAUUGAAAAUAUCAAGAGCUUUCUCAUAUUGACCAAGCUUUACUAAGCAAUAAAUCACAAUGUUAAGGGUGGUUGUAUCGGGACGAAUAUCUGUUCCUUUCAUUAAUUCAUAAUAUGACAAAGCUUUUAGAUGCUGACCACCAGUCUUAUAUGCAGAUAAAACAAUAUUGUGAGUCACCAGAUCUGGACCAACUCCAUUUUCUGUCAUUUUCUUGCAGACUUUCAGAGCUUCUCUCCAAUUUCCAGUAGAUCCACAAGCAUUGAUCAAGUUAUUAUAUGUCGACCGGCUAGGGGGAAUCUGCAGGAAUUGGAAUGUUAAGGUCACAUACAUCUUUUCCAUAUGACAUGAAAUUCAUUAAAAGGUUUAAAAUGUAAAUCAUAUGUACACAUCAUUUAGAAAACAGAAGAACAAGAUGAUUAUCUCUUUCGAAUAGAAGUACUUCCUGCACAGAGAGAGGAACUCAAGAAGGAUAAUUGCAUUGGACAACUUUCUUUUAGGCAGCACCAAUUUAAAAAAAUAUAGAGAAUACAGAAGAUAACAUAUCUAUAAAAACUCCAUUCAUACAAAAUGCAUUAUAUCCAUCUAAAUUAUCAGUCCAUAUUCCAGACCUUCCAAAGUUCCAUGUCCACCAGUUCAACAAUUGCACAAACCUUAGAUGACUGGCAGCCACACUAUCAUAUCAACAAAUGCCACUCAAAUCUCCAUUCCCAAAUAGCUAUUGUAGAAUUGAAAUACCAUCAAAUAUGACAUUUAUAAAACAAAUAAUCCUCUGCAAACAUUGAUGAUUACAGUAAGUCAGCAACUGAUCCCCAAUGUUACAUGUUAGCAUUGCAAACAUUUCUAUGCACAUGCCAUUUUAACGUGAAAAUAAGGAGGCUCACAUCAAAUCAGACCACUAAGAUUGAUUAGGGAAGGAGAAAUCAAAUACACACAGCUUCACGCAGCAUGUCAUCCAUUAUAUUCAUAGCCCAACGCCAUUGACCCGCUCUUCCAUGUGCAUUGAUAAGAGCAUUGUAAGUUUCAGCAUCUGGCUUGCACCUCCAUUCUUGCAUCUCAAAAAACAAACCACGCGCCUGAUCAGUGCGAUUAUAUCUGGCAUGUAGUCUGAUCAUCAUAUUGUAUAUAUCAUUACAAGCACAAUAAUUCUUUUGAUGUUUCAUCCAAUUGAAUGCUAGAAUGCUAUGUUCCAAUGAGCCCCUUUGCGUUAUCUCUUUGAUAAGACAAGGGAAAUUCUUUCGGGCGAAACGGCCGACCCAGUGGUUUAGGAGACGCUCAACGUCAACAGAUUUGGGGUCGAGCUGGAGAAUUUUAUCGACGACCUGAGACAGACUCCAGUCCUUCUGGAACCUGUCGCCUUCGACUUUUAAACGGUAUCGUUUCUGAAGGUCGGCUUUCCUGAGUCCAGAGACUUGAGUAGAGACAUGGUGCUGGCCGGUGUCAUAGUCCACGAAUACCGACUUCUUCUCCUCAAAAGCUGCAUUGUUUUUCUUUUUCUUGCAGAGGAUUUUUGAGUUGGAGAGCGUUGGUGAGGGGCUCAGCAGGGGCCGGUUGUAGCAGAGAUAGUUUAUCGCCGCCAUUUUUGGUGGAUAGGAAAGUAAGCGGGAGCUCCACCGUGUGUGUAUUAUCA